RNAcentral lists this ribosomal RNA (1016 nucleotides) under Hydnellum granulosum. RNAcentral's name for it is "SSU rRNA". It matches the Rfam family "Eukaryotic small subunit ribosomal RNA", at positions 79 to 1099 of the family's 1831-position model. Lineage: Eukaryota; Fungi; Basidiomycota; Agaricomycetes; Thelephorales; Thelephoraceae. The record is from RNAcentral.
CCGUGAAACUGCGAAUGGCUCAUUAAAUCAGUUAUAGUUUAUUUGAUGGUACCUUGCUACAUGGAUAACUGUGGUAAUUCUAGAGCUAAUACAUGCGAUAAAGCCCCGACUUCAGGAAGGGGUGUAUUUAUUAGAUAAAAAACCAACGCGGUUCGCCGCUCCAUUGGUGAUUCAUAAUAACUUGUCGAAUCGCACGGCCUUGCGCUGGCGAUGCUUCAUUCAAAUAUCUGCCCUAUCAACUUUCGAUGGUAGGAUAGUGGCCUACCAUGGUUUCAACGGGUAACGGGGAAUAAGGGUUCGAUUCCGGAGAGGGAGCCUGAGAAACGGCUACCACAUCCAAGGAAGGCAGCAGGCGCGCAAAUUACCCAAUCCCGACACGGGGAGGUAGUGACAAUAAAUAACAAUAUAGGGCCCUUUCGGGUCUUAUAAUUGGAAUGAGUACAAUUUAAAUCCCUUAACGAGGAACGAUUGGAGGGCAAGUCUGGUGCCAGCAGCCGCGGUAAUUCCAGCUCCAAUAGCGUAUAUUAAAGUUGUUGCAGUUAAAAAGCUCGUAGUUGAACUUCAGACCUGGCCGGACGGUCUGCCUAACGGUAUGUACUGUCCUCGGCCGGGCCUUACCUCUUGGUGAGCCGUCAUGUCCUUAACUGGGUGUGGUGGGGAACCAGGACCUUUACCUUGAGAAAAUUAGAGUGUUCAAAGCAGGCCUACGCCCGAAUACAUUAGCAUGGAAUAAUAAAAUAGGACGCGCGGUUCUAUUUUGUUGGUUUCUAGAGUCGCCGUAAUGAUUAAUAGGGAUGGUUGGGGGCAUUAGUAUUCAGUUGCUAGAGGUGAAAUUCUUGGAUUUACUGAAGACUAACUACUGCGAAAGCAUUUGCCAAGGAUGUUUUCAUUAAUCAAGAACGAAGGUUAGGGGAUCGAAAACGAUCAGAUACCGUUGUAGUCUUAACAGUAAACCAUGCCGACUAGGGAUCGGGCGAACUCGAUUUUAUGUGACGCUCGGCACCUUACGAGAAAUC